Long non-coding RNA from Symphalangus syndactylus (siamang), 446 nucleotides. RefSeq lists it as uncharacterized. The record is from RefSeq and is a predicted model, not a curated record. Lineage: Eukaryota; Metazoa; Chordata; Mammalia; Primates; Hylobatidae.
UCCUUUUUAUGGCUGCACAGAAUUUCAUGGUGUACCUGGGAAGUAUAUGGUACAACAGCUUUCAAUUCCUGAAAGAACUGUCACUCCAGAAUCCUAUAUCCAGGGAAAAUAUCCCUCUGGAAUGAAGGGAAAUCAAGACAUUCUCAGAUAAAGGAAAAGGAAAUGAAUUUGUAGCCAGCAGAUCUAUCAUGAAGAAUGGCUAAAGGGAAGUUCUCUAAGCAAAAAGAAAAUGAUGAAAGAAGCAAACUUGGAGCAUCAGAAAGGAAGAAAGAACAUGAUAAAUGAAAAUAUGAGCUCCUCUUAUGAACAAGUGGUGACCACUGGCGAGUUACUUCACUGCUCCAAAUCUCACUCCCAUCUGUGCAAUGAUGACAACACCUAUCACAGAGGAAUGCUGGGAAGGAAGCCGAGACUUUGGUGGCACUUCCCUGAGACCUCUGCCUGUA